UACGUAGGGGGCUAGCGUUGUCCGGAAUCAUUGGGCGUAAAGAGCGUGUAGGCGGUCCGGUAAGUCCGCUGUGAAAGUCGGGGGCUCAACCCUCGAAUGCCGGUGGAUACUGUCGGGCUAGAGUGCGGAAGAGGCGAGUGGAAUUCCUGGUGUAGCGGUGAAAUGCGCAGAUAUCAGGAGGAACACCGAUGGCGAAGGCAGCUCGCUGGGACGGUACUGACGCUGAGGCGCGAAAGCGUGGGGAGCAAACAGG
Molecule: ribosomal RNA, 253 nt
Filed under: uncultured bacterium
Lineage: Bacteria
Description: partial 16S ribosomal RNA
Rfam family: Bacterial small subunit ribosomal RNA
Source: RNAcentral